AGCGCAGUAGGGGAGCCGGGUCGCCCCCCCCGGGCCUCAUAAGCCCGAGAUCGCCGGUUCGAAUCCGGCCUGCGCCACCA
Molecule: transfer RNA, 80 nt
Filed under: Thermomonospora echinospora
Lineage: Bacteria; Bacillati; Actinomycetota; Actinomycetes; Streptosporangiales; Thermomonosporaceae
Description: Actinomadura echinospora tRNA_Met_CAT
Rfam family: tRNA
About the family: Transfer RNA (tRNA) molecules are approximately 80 nucleotides in length.
Source: RNAcentral